GACGAACGCUGGCGGUGUGCUUAACACAUGCAAGUCGAACGGUAAGGCCCUUUCGGGGGUACACGAGUGGCGAACGGGUGCGUAACACGUGAGUAACCUGCCCUCAUCUCUGGGAUAACAGUCGGAAACGGUUGCUAAUACUGGAUAUGAGCUUGCAAGGCAUCUUGUGGGUUGGAAAGAUUUUUUUGGUUGGGGAUGGACUCGCGGCCUAUCAGCUUGUUGGUGAGGUAGUGGCUCACCAAGGCUUCGACGGGUAGCCGGCCUGAGAGGGCGACCGGCCACAUUGGGACUGAGAUACGGCCCAAACUCCUACGGGAGGCAGCAGUGGGGAAUAUUGCACAAUGGACGGAAGUCUGAUGCAGCAACGCCGCGUGCGGGAUGACGGCCUUCGGGUUGUAAACCGCUUUCAAUUGUGACGAAGCUUUUUGUGACGGUAGCAGGAGAAGAAGCACCGGCUAACUACGUG
Molecule: ribosomal RNA, 466 nt
Filed under: uncultured bacterium
Lineage: Bacteria
Description: partial 16S ribosomal RNA
Rfam family: Bacterial small subunit ribosomal RNA
Source: RNAcentral